GAUGAACGCUGGCGGCGUGCCUAAUACAUGCAAGUCGAACGCUGAAGCUUGGUGCUUGCACCGAGCGGAUGAGUUGCGAACGGGUGAGUAACGCGUAGGUAACCUGCCUCUUAGCGGGGGAUAACUAUUGGAAACGAUAGCUAAUACCGCAUAAAAGUCGACAUCGCAUUAUGUUGACUUGAAAUGUGCAAUUUCAUCACUAAGAGAUGGACCUGCGUUGUAUUAGCUAGUUGGUGUGGUAACGGCUCACCAAUGCGACGAAACGUAGCCGACCGUCGAGGGGGAGCUGCCACACUGGGAUGGAGGCACGACCAAGAAUCCUGGGGGUGGCAGCAGGAGGGGAUCUUUGGGGAUGGGAGCAACGCUGAACAAGCAACGCCGCGCGAGAGCAGAAGGUUGUCGGGUCGUGAAGCUCAGUUGUAAGAGAAGAACGAGUGUGAGAGUGGAAAGUUCAGACUGUGACGGUAACGGAACAGAAAGCGACGGCUAACUACGUG
This 497-nucleotide ribosomal RNA is filed under the name uncultured bacterium. RNAcentral's name for it is "partial 16S ribosomal RNA". It matches the Rfam family "Bacterial small subunit ribosomal RNA", at positions 28 to 507 of the family's 1533-position model. The record is from RNAcentral.